AGUGAACGCUGGCGGUAGGCCUAACACAUGCAAGUCGAACGGCAGCACAGUAAGAGCUUGCUCUUACGGGUGGCGAGUGGCGGACGGGUGAGGAAUACAUCGGAAUCUACUUUUUCGUGGGGGAUAACGUAGGGAAACUUACGCUAAUACCGCAUACGACCUACGGGUGAAAGCAGGGGAUCUUCGGACCUUGCGCGAUUGAAUGAGCCGAUGUCGGAUUAGCUAGUUGGCGGGGUAAAGGCCCACCAAGGCGACGAUCCGUAGCUGGUCUGAGAGGAUGAUCAGCCACACUGGAACUGAGACACGGUCCAGACUCCUACGGGAGGCAGCAGUGGGGAAUAUUGGACAAUGGGCGGAAGCCUGGUCCAGCCAUACCGCGUGGGUGGAGAAGGCCUUCGGGUUGUAAAGCCCUUUUGUUGGGAAAGAAAAGCAGCAGGUUAACACCCCGCUGUUCUGACGGUACCCAAAGAAUAAGCACCGGCUAACUUCGUG
This 492-nucleotide ribosomal RNA is filed under the name uncultured bacterium. RNAcentral describes it as "partial 16S ribosomal RNA". It matches the Rfam family "Bacterial small subunit ribosomal RNA", at positions 29 to 507 of the family's 1533-position model. The record is from RNAcentral.